AGUCGUAACAAGGUUUCCGUAGGUGAACCUGCGGAAGGAUCAUUAAUGAAUCUUCUACCAAAUCCGGGAAGUGGUGCGUGCGCGUGUCGUGUUUACGCGCGGUGCGUGUGCGCGCUCUUCCUUUCACCCCUUGUGAACCGUAACCCCGUCUCUCCUACUACCGUGGCCGUCUUUCUGCUUAACACGCGGAGGAGGGCUGCGCGGCGCGGGAGAGACACUUUCUACACAUACAAACCUGUUUAUUGUACCAUAGUCUAUUGCAAGUCAUUCAAUGAUUUAUUAAUUAAAAUACAACUUUUAACAAUGGAUCUCUUGGCUCUC
RNAcentral lists this unclassified non-coding RNA (321 nucleotides) under fungal sp. RNAcentral's name for it is "partial internal transcribed spacer region". The stretch from base 1 to 45 matches the Rfam family "Eukaryotic small subunit ribosomal RNA", at positions 1787 to 1831 of the family's 1831-position model. Lineage: Eukaryota; Fungi. The record is from RNAcentral.